Molecule: ribosomal RNA, 439 nt
Filed under: uncultured bacterium
Lineage: Bacteria
Description: bacterial SSU rRNA
Rfam family: Bacterial small subunit ribosomal RNA
Source: RNAcentral
GUGGGGAAUUUUGCGCAAUGGGCGAAAGCCUGACGCAGCAACGCCGCGUGGAGGAUGAAGGCCUUCGGGUCGUAAACUCCUGUCAGGGGGGACGAAAGCCGCGAAAGCGGAUUGACUGUACCCUCUGAGGAAGCCACGGCUAACUCCGUGCCAGCAGCCGCGGUAAUACGGAGGUGGCAAGCGUUGUUCGGAAUUACUGGGCGUAAAGGGCGCGUAGGCGGCUUUGCAAGUCAGAUGUGAAAGCCCCGGGCUUAACUUGGGAAUUGCAUCUGAAACUGCUUUGCUUGAGUCCUGGAGGGGGUAGUGGAAUUCCCAGUGUAGCGGUGAAAUGCGUAGAUAUUGGGAGGAACACCUGCGGCGAAGGCGGCUACCUGGACAGUGACUGACGCUGAGGCGCGAAAGCUAGGGGAGCAAACGGGAUUAGAAACCCCAGUAGUCC